Molecule: transfer RNA, 56 nt
Filed under: Pristionchus pacificus
Lineage: Eukaryota; Metazoa; Nematoda; Chromadorea; Rhabditida; Neodiplogasteridae
Description: tRNA-Thr
Source: RNAcentral
GCUAUUAUAGUUUAAUAUAGAAUUUAUAACUUGUAAUUAUAAGGUUUGUGGUAGCU